Molecule: transfer RNA, 74 nt
Filed under: Candidatus Woesearchaeota archaeon
Lineage: Archaea; Nanobdellati; Candidatus Woesearchaeota
Description: tRNA-Met
Rfam family: tRNA
About the family: Transfer RNA (tRNA) molecules are approximately 80 nucleotides in length. Their secondary structure includes four short double-helical elements and three loops (D, anti-codon, and T loops). Further hydrogen bonds mediate the characteristic L-shaped molecular structure. tRNAs have two regions of fundamental functional importance: the anti-codon, which is responsible for specific mRNA codon recognition, and the 3' end, to which the tRNAs corresponding amino acid is attached (by aminoacyl-tRNA synthetases). tRNAs cope with the degeneracy of the genetic code in two manners: having more than one tRNA (with a specific anti-codon) for a particular amino acid; and 'wobble' base-pairing, i.e. permitting non-standard base-pairing at the 3rd anti-codon position.
Source: RNAcentral
GGCGCCUUGGCUCAAUCUGGAAGAGCAAUGGUCUCAUGAUCCAUAGGUUCGGGGUUCAAAUCCCCGAGGCGCCA